Molecule: ribosomal RNA, 253 nt
Filed under: uncultured bacterium
Lineage: Bacteria
Description: partial 16S ribosomal RNA
Rfam family: Bacterial small subunit ribosomal RNA
Source: RNAcentral
UACAGAGGUCUCAAGCGUUGUUCGGAUUCAUUGGGCGUAAAGGGUGCGUAGGCGGCGCGGUAAGUCGGGUGUGAAAUCUCGGGGCUCAACCCCGAAACUGCACUUGAUACUGCAGUGCUCGAGGACUGGAGAGGAGAUUGGAAUUCAUGGUGUAGCAGUGAAAUGCGUAGAUAUCAUGAGGAAGACCAGUGGCGAAGGCGGAUCUCUGGACAGUUCCUGACACUGAGGCACGAAGGCCAGGGGAGCAAACGGG